This 98-nucleotide ribosomal RNA is filed under the name Salvator merianae (Argentine black and white tegu). Lineage: Eukaryota; Metazoa; Chordata; Lepidosauria; Squamata; Teiidae. The record is from RNAcentral.
GCCAGUUGCCAACUUUGGCUGAUGUCAAAAAGCUAAAGAGUUAAGGUUUGGUUAGUAUUUGGAUGGGGGACUACCAGAAAAUCCCAAAGCUGUAGGUU